GCUUUUUAAGUCAAUGGAUGCGCUUGUGCACCCAAUUCAGGAAGGAAGUAGCAACCCCAAAACCUUAUAAUUUAUUUCCAUUCGUACAGUUUGUUUCUUCACCACACCUCAUCCAUGGCACUUGUGAGAGCAACUCAACAAACCUCCUCUUCUAAUACUCCUCGAUGUUGCCGUUAUCACGUGUUCCUCAGUUUCAGAGGUGAAGACACUCGCAAGACUUUCACUGACCACCUCUUCACAGCCUUGGUCAAUGCCGGAUUUCGCACUUGCCGAGACAAUGAUGAGCUGGAGAGAGGAGAAGAUCUUAAGCCCGAACUCCAGAAAGCAAUCAAACACUCAAGAACUUCUGUUAUUGUGUUUUCGAAAGACUACGCAUUGUCCAGAUGGUGCCUUGACGAGCUUAUGAAGAUCCUUGAACGCAAGAGGACCUCACCUGACUAUGUGGUUUUACCACAAAAAUCAUUAUAAAAAAAAACAUAAUAACCAAAGCAUCACAAAACAACCAAAAAACUAAAACUGAGCAGAUGCAAAAAAUGCAUCAUCCAGAAGCAAUAACCAAAUCCGAAAAUAUAAACACUUCAACUGAUAGUUAAACCAAAUUAAUCAUCAGCUAGCUCAAGACUAAAAAUCCUCACCUUGUUUCAAAUGCUUAGUCCAAAUAGAUAUGAAAAAAAUGAAAAAUCUAAAUAAAUAAAAAAAUCAUAGCCCUCGAUUGAAACCUAAACAUCACAAUUUGACGUAAAAAAUCAAACCCUAAAUGGUAAAACUACCUCUGACGGAGGGCUGGCGGGAUCCCCAUAUCUUCUUGUCCACCAUUGUCUAAGGAGAGGUGAUGGUUGCUUGGUGGCGAUAGAUCUAGUGGUAAAACCUAUAAAAAGUUAAAGAUAAACUACUAAUUACAUAAAAAACUGAACUUAAAAAAAAAAUUAAAAAUUAAAACCUUAUUUACCAAUCCAAUGAUACCUUUUACACUAUGAAAGACAAAAAAUCGUUCGUGAGGUAAAAUAACCCUGUUCUUCGGAAAAUGAAAGGACCCGCUCUGAAUUUUUCAAAACCCGAGGCGAACCUUUUGGAAUUCCCGACAUCAUCCCGAUGCCAGUCCCACUUACUAAAGACCGAGACUUCCUGCCGAAAUUUCGGCAGAGUCUCCUCUAUAAAUUGGACAUUUCCCAAAAUUUCAACCUGCAUAAAAACGCAUUUAAUAUCCACAACUGGCAGUAUGCACAAUAUAAUUUCAUGCAAUUCACACAAACGGCCUUCGGCCUUCCAAUAAUUCUCAUCUAACUACCAAACACGCUAACAAAACAAUUCAUGUCUUAAACAAGGCAACAAUUCAAAUAUAAAUUAUGACUAACAUUUAGUCUGCGGCUGCACCUAAUAACCUUAGGCUGCCUACGUACCCUCCUUGAGGGAUCAAGCCACACGUAGUUCUUCCAUAAAAUCCAAUUCCACACUUAGGCAAUACCUUAUUUCAUUUCUCUGUAUUUCACAUAAUCUCUCCAUACGCCGGUACAACCAACGCCACGUAUGGGGCCUGUCAACACGCCGGAUAACCUACGCCACGUGCGACCAUGCCAUACUAUCAUAAUAUCUCCCCAUACGCCGGUACAACCAACGCCACGUAUGGGGUCUGUCUCAACGCCAGAUAACCUACGCCACGCGAGACCUGCACAUCAUAUCACAUAUCUCCCCAUACGCCGGUACAACCAACGCCACGUAUGGGGUCUGUCGACACGCCGGAUAACCUAAGCCACGUGCUACCUCAACACAAUAUCACAUAAUCUCCCCAUACGCCGGUACAACCAACGCCACGUAUGGGGCCUGUCUCAACGCCGGAUAACCUACGCUACGUGAGACCUGA
Molecule: long non-coding RNA, 1861 nt
Filed under: Prunus persica (peach)
Lineage: Eukaryota; Viridiplantae; Streptophyta; Magnoliopsida; Rosales; Rosaceae
Description: long non-coding RNA (PPER_LNC004538)
Source: RNAcentral